AUUGAACGCUGGCGGCAGGCCUAACACAUGCAAGUCGAACGGUAACAGGAAGAAGCUUGCUUCUUUGCUGACGAGUGGCGGACGGGUGAGUAAUGUCUGGGAAACUGCCUGAUGGAGGGGGAUAACUACUGGAAACGGUAGCUAAUACCGCAUAACGUCGCAAGACCAAAGAGGGGGACCUUCGGGCCUCUUGCCAUCGGAUGUGCCCAGAUGGGAUUAGCUAGUAGGUGGGGUAACGGCUCACCUAGGCGACGAUCCCUAGCUGGUCUGAGAGGAUGACCAGCCAAACUGGAACUGAGACACGGUCCAGACUCCUACGGGAGGCAGCAGUGGGGAAUAUUGCACAAUGGGCGCAAGCCUGAUGCAGCCAUGCCGCGUGUAUGAAGAAGGCCUUCGGGUUGUAAAGUACUUUCAGCGGGGAGGAAGGGAGUAAAGUUAAUACCUUUGCUCAUUGACGUUACCCGCAGAAGAAGCACCGGCGAACUCCGU
RNAcentral lists this ribosomal RNA (489 nucleotides) under uncultured bacterium. RNAcentral's name for it is "partial 16S ribosomal RNA". It matches the Rfam family "Bacterial small subunit ribosomal RNA", at positions 30 to 506 of the family's 1533-position model. The record is from RNAcentral.